Small nucleolar RNA from Hyaena hyaena (striped hyena), 87 nucleotides. RefSeq annotates it as small nucleolar RNA SNORD35. The record is from RefSeq and is a predicted model, not a curated record. The transcript has a single exon. NCBI's taxonomy places the organism in Eukaryota, Metazoa, Chordata, Mammalia, Carnivora, Hyaenidae.
UGCAGAUGAUGUCUCUUUCUCUGGAUGGUCUGCGGAUGCCACUGUGGGCGGGGCCGAUGAGGCCAGUGUCUCAGCUGAUGCCAGGAG